RNAcentral lists this ribosomal RNA (370 nucleotides) under uncultured bacterium. RNAcentral describes it as "bacterial SSU rRNA". It matches the Rfam family "Bacterial small subunit ribosomal RNA", at positions 29 to 428 of the family's 1533-position model. The record is from RNAcentral.
AACGAACGCUGGCGGCAUGCCUAACACAUGCAAGUCGAACGAGACCUUCGGGUCUAGUGGCGCACGGGUGCGUAACGCGUGGGAAUCUGCCCUUUGCUUCGGAAUAACAGUUAGAAAUGACUGCUAAUACCGGAUGAUGUCUUCGGACCAAAGAUUUAUCGGCAAAGGAUGAGCCCGCGUAGGAUUAGGUAGUUGGUGGGGUAAAGGCCUACCAAGCCGACGAUCCUUAGCUGGUCUGAGAGGAUGAUCAGCCACACUGGGACUGAGACACGGCCCAGACUCCUACGGGAGGCAGCAGUGGGGAAUUUUGGACAAUGGGCGCAAGCCUGAUCCAGCAAUGCCGCGUGCAGGAUGAAGGCCUUCGGUGUAA